AAACUCUGAACCAAAUGAAGCUGUAGAGAUGAUGGAGGUAGACUCUUGUCCUGGUUAUGAGAACAGCACCACUGCAGCACAGACACAAGACACAGAGGAGCAGGAAGACCUGGUGUGAAGUUACAGUCAGAUGAUGUUGAAGCAAAGGUGGGACUCACCUGGUGGAAACAGGAAGUAGAACAUUGAUUUCAGCUUUAAAGAUUUUUCUGUUAAUUUUCAUCUUAUUAUUUUAUUUAGCAGCUAUGAAGACAGAUAAAGUUUAAAUCUGUUCCUUUGUUGUGAUUGAUUUUCCUAAGUUUUGUCUCUAUGUGGAUGAAAUGUGCCACAGUGCAGUAGUUUAUUAGUAUUCAGGAUUUUACUGAUAUGAAGAUGCAAAGACAGUUUUUAUUGAAGAGGACCUGAACUUCCUGUAAAUCUCUGGGGUCACUCAUCAAAGCAGAAUGUAGUUCACUAAAUGUGAAGCCUUUUCAGAAUAAAAGUCCAUUGUUGACAGCGUGUGCAACACCCUAAUUAUAAUUUGAGGAGUUUACCGUUGUAAUAUGUCAAAGAUGUUUGUCACCAGUGUGAACUAAUGACACGUCCUGAACUUAAUC
Long non-coding RNA from Seriola dumerili (greater amberjack), 593 nucleotides. RefSeq lists it as uncharacterized. Lineage: Eukaryota; Metazoa; Chordata; Actinopteri; Carangiformes; Carangidae. The record is from RefSeq and is a predicted model, not a curated record. The transcript is spliced from 3 exons.